Molecule: long non-coding RNA, 520 nt
Organism: Vespa crabro (European hornet)
Lineage: Eukaryota; Metazoa; Arthropoda; Insecta; Hymenoptera; Vespidae
Exons: 2
Source: RefSeq, a predicted model, not a curated record
GCAAAUUUUCAAAGAUGAUUUUUCUUUCCAUGUUAUUUUUUGUUUUGAUCAACGUAUUUAAAUGAAAACUCUUCAAAUCGUCAUUUACUUUUCUCAAACUAUAACUGUGACAAUCGAAAUUCAAAUGAUUAAAUAUCAUAGCUAUAUAGGAUGAUGUUAGAUGAGAAUAGAAAAAUCGAUAGAAUUAGUUUCAAACGAUCAUUCGCGACGACAUAUGCUAUUGUUGUUUCAAUUAAAAAUAAUUUUGUAAGGGUGUUCGGUUAAAUUUGUGAUCGAAUAAAAGAAAAAAAAAAGAAAGAAGAAGAAAAAAAGAAAAAAAAGGGACAAAAGAAUAAAAACAAGAGAAAAAAAAUGAAGAACGAGGAGAGUGUCGAACGAGAUGGACGAUGGACGUUUUUUCAUAAUUGGUUUAGUUGAUUUUCAAGAUACUGACGAAGAGGAGCAUAGAAGAUGAAUAGUUUUUAAAUAGAUAGAUUAUAAUAAUAAGAUAUUUUAUUUCGAUUAACGAUGAUGGACAUGG